RNAcentral lists this ribosomal RNA (1504 nucleotides) under Lactiplantibacillus plantarum. Its description in RNAcentral is "partial 16S ribosomal RNA". It matches the Rfam family "Bacterial small subunit ribosomal RNA". Lineage: Bacteria; Bacillati; Bacillota; Bacilli; Lactobacillales; Lactobacillaceae. The record is from RNAcentral.
UUGAUCCUGGCUCAGGACGAACGCUGGCGGCGUGCCUAAUACAUGCAAGUCGAACGAACUCUGGUAUUGAUUGGUGCUUGCAUCAUGAUUUACAUUUGAGUGAGUGGCGAACUGGUGAGUAACACGUGGGAAACCUGCCCAGAAGCGGGGGAUAACACCUGGAAACAGAUGCUAAUACCGCAUAACAACUUGGACCGCAUGGUCCGAGUUUGAAAGAUGGCUUCGGCUAUCACUUUUGGAUGGUCCCGCGGCGUAUUAGCUAGAUGGUGGGGUAACGGCUCACCAUGGCAAUGAUACGUAGCCGACCUGAGAGGGUAAUCGGCCACAUUGGGACUGAGACACGGCCCAAACUCCUACGGGAGGCAGCAGUAGGGAAUCUUCCACAAUGGACGAAAGUCUGAUGGAGCAACGCCGCGUGAGUGAAGAAGGGUUUCGGCUCGUAAAACUCUGUUGUUAAAGAAGAACAUAUCUGAGAGUAACUGUUCAGGUAUUGACGGUAUUUAACCAGAAAGCCACGGCUAACUACGUGCCAGCAGCCGCGGUAAUACGUAGGUGGCAAGCGUUGUCCGGAUUUAUUGGGCGUAAAGCGAGCGCAGGCGGUUUUUUAAGUCUGAUGUGAAAGCCUUCGGCUCAACCGAAGAAGUGCAUCGGAAACUGGGAAACUUGAGUGCAGAAGAGGACAGUGGAACUCCAUGUGUAGCGGUGAAAUGCGUAGAUAUAUGGAAGAACACCAGUGGCGAAGGCGGCUGUCUGGUCUGUAACUGACGCUGAGGCUCGAAAGUAUGGGUAGCAAACAGGAUUAGAUACCCUGGUAGUCCAUACCGUAAACGAUGAAUGCUAAGUGUUGGAGGGUUUCCGCCCUUCAGUGCUGCAGCUAACGCAUUAAGCAUUCCGCCUGGGGAGUACGGCCGCAAGGCUGAAACUCAAAGGAAUUGACGGGGGCCCGCACAAGCGGUGGAGCAUGUGGUUUAAUUCGAAGCUACGCGAAGAACCUUACCAGGUCUUGACAUACUAUGCAAAUCUAAGAGAUUAGACGUUCCCUUCGGGGACAUGGAUACAGGUGGUGCAUGGUUGUCGUCAGCUCGUGUCGUGAGAUGUUGGGUUAAGUCCCGCAACGAGCGCAACCCUUAUUAUCAGUUGCCAGCAUUAAGUUGGGCACUCUGGUGAGACUGCCGGUGACAAACCGGAGGAAGGUGGGGAUGACGUCAAAUCAUCAUGCCCCUUAUGACCUGGGCUACACACGUGCUACAAUGGAUGGUACAACGAGUUGCGAACUCGCGAGAGUAAGCUAAUCUCUUAAAGCCAUUCUCAGUUCGGAUUGUAGGCUGCAACUCGCCUACAUGAAGUCGGAAUCGCUAGUAAUCGCGGAUCAGCAUGCCGCGGUGAAUACGUUCCCGGGCCUUGUACACACCGCCCGUCACACCAUGAGAGUUUGUAACACCCAAAGUCGGUGGGGUAACCUUUUAGGAACCAGCCGCCUAAGGUGGGACAGAUGAUUAGGGUG